RNAcentral lists this long non-coding RNA (246 nucleotides) under Gossypium raimondii (Peruvian cotton). RNAcentral's name for it is "long non-coding RNA (GRAI_LNC000254)". The record is from RNAcentral. Lineage: Eukaryota; Viridiplantae; Streptophyta; Magnoliopsida; Malvales; Malvaceae.
GGGUUUAGUUUUAUCUCCAUACUUUUUACUAUUUAUUUUUGCUGUUUUAAUGAAAUUAUCUUUCCUCGUGGGCUUUUAUCCUCUUGGGAGGAUUUUUUUCACGUAAAAUAUUUGUGUUCGAUCUUUUUAUUUUUUUUGUUAUUUUACUUGUUCGUUGCUUAACCGGAUUUAUCCCCAAUAAACUAGUAUCAGAGCUAGUUUGAUUUCCGCAAUCAACCUGUUCAAUUAUGGUUGCAACAAGGUUUG